This 1127-nucleotide ribosomal RNA is filed under the name Lasiodiplodia theobromae. RNAcentral describes it as "SSU rRNA". It matches the Rfam family "Eukaryotic small subunit ribosomal RNA", at positions 33 to 1147 of the family's 1831-position model. The record is from RNAcentral. Lineage: Eukaryota; Fungi; Ascomycota; Dothideomycetes; Botryosphaeriales; Botryosphaeriaceae.
CUUCUCAAGAUUAAGCCAUGGCAUGKUCUAAGUAUAAGCAUCUAUACUGUGAAACUGCGAAUGGCUCAUUAAAUCAGUUAUCGUUUAUUUGAUAGUACCUUACUACUUGGAUAACCGUGGUAAUUCUAGAGCUAAUACAUGCUAAAAACCCCGACUUCGGAAGGGGUGUAUUUAUUAGAUAAAAAACCAAUGCCCUUCGGGGCUCCUUGGUGAAUCAUGAUAACUUAACGAAUCGCAUGGCCUUGCGCCGGCGAUGGUUCAUUCAAAUUUCUGCCCUAUCAACUUUCGAUUGUAGGAUAGUGGCCUACAAUGGUUUCAACGGGUAACGGGGAAUUAGGGUUCUAUUCCGGAGAGGGAGCCUGAGAAACGGCUACCACAUCCAAGGAAGGCAGCAGGCGCGCAAAUUACCCAAUCCCGAUACGGGGAGGUAGUGACAAUAAAUACUGAUACAGGGCUCUUUUGGGUCUUGUAAUUGGAAUGAGUACAAUUUAAAUACCUUAACGAGGAACAAUUGGAGGGCAAGUCUGGUGCCAGCAGCCGCGGUAAUUCCAGCUCCAAUAGCGUAUAUUAAAGUUGUUGCAGUUAAAAAGCUCGUAGUUGAACCUUGGGCCUGGCUGGCCGGUCUGCCUCACCGCAUGUACUGGUUCGGCCGGGUCUUUCCUCCUGGGGAUCCGCAUGCCCUUCACUGGGUGUGUUGGGGAACCAGGACUUUUACUUUGAAAAAAUUAGAGUGUUCAAAGCAGGCCUUUGCUCGAAUACAUUAGCAUGGAAUAAUAGAAUAGGACGUGCGGUCCUAUUUUGUUGGUUUCUAGGACCGCCGUAAUGAUUAAUAGGGAUAGUCGGGGGCAUCAGUAUUCAGUUGUCAGAGGUGAAAUUCUUGGAUUUACUGAAGACUAACUACUGCGAAAGCAUUUGCCAAGGAUGUUUUCAUUAAUCAGUGAACGAAAGUUAGGGGAUCGAAGACGAUCAGAUACCGUCGUAGUCUUAACCGUAAACUAUGCCGACUAGGGAUCGGGCGAUGUUAUUCUUUUGACUCGCUCGGCACCUUACGAGAAAUCAAAGUCUUUGGKUCUGGGGGGGAGUAUGGUCSCCCCCAAGGCUGAACUAAGUGUGUGUCGGCGCGGGGG